Molecule: ribosomal RNA, 490 nt
Filed under: uncultured bacterium
Lineage: Bacteria
Description: partial 16S ribosomal RNA
Rfam family: Bacterial small subunit ribosomal RNA
Source: RNAcentral
AGUGAACGCUGGCGGUAGGCCUAACACAUGCAAGUCGAACGGCAGCACAGGAGAGCUUGCUCUCUAGGUGGCGAGUGGCGGACGGGUGAGGAAUACAUCGGAAUCUGCCCAGUCGUGGGGGAUAACGUAGGGAAACUUACGCUAAUACCGCAUACGACCUUCGGGUGAAAGAGGGGGAUCGCAAGACCUCUCGCGAUUGGAUGAGCCGAUGUCGGAUUAGCUAGUUAGCGGGGUAAUGGCCCACCAAGGCGACGAUCCGUAGCUGGUCUGAGAGGAUGAUCAGCCACACUGGAACUGAGACACGGUCCAGACUCCUACGGGAGGCAGCAGUGGGGAAUAUUGGACAAUGGGCGCAAGCCUGAUCCAGCCAUACCGCGUGGGUGAAGAAGGCCUUCGGGUUGUAAAGCCCUUUUAUUGGGAAAGAAAUCUUUCAGGCUAAUACCCUGGGAGGAUGACGGUACCCAAAGAAUAAGCACCGGCUAACUUCGUG